GGUGCUAAUACCGGAUAAGAAAGCGGAUCGCAUGAUCAGCUUUAAAAGGCGGCGUAAGCUGUCGCUAUGGGAUGGCCCCGCGGUGCAUUAGCUAGUUGGUAAGGUAAAGGCUUACCAAGGCGAUGAUGCAUAGCCGAGUUGAGAGACUGAUCGGCCACAUUGGGACUGAGACACGGCCCAAACUCCUACGGGAGGCAGCAGC
RNAcentral lists this ribosomal RNA (202 nucleotides) under uncultured Lactobacillus sp. Its description in RNAcentral is "partial 16S ribosomal RNA". It matches the Rfam family "Bacterial small subunit ribosomal RNA", at positions 159 to 355 of the family's 1533-position model. The record is from RNAcentral. Lineage: Bacteria; Bacillati; Bacillota; Bacilli; Lactobacillales; Lactobacillaceae.